Molecule: ribosomal RNA, 710 nt
Filed under: Phytophthora cryptogea
Lineage: Eukaryota; Oomycota; Peronosporomycetes; Peronosporales; Peronosporaceae
Also listed under: 1 other name
Description: eukaryotic LSU rRNA
Rfam family: Eukaryotic large subunit ribosomal RNA
Source: RNAcentral
UAGUACGGCGAGUGAAGCGGGAAGAGCUCAAGCUUAAAAUCUCCGUGCAAGUUUUGCGCGGCGAAUUGUAGUCUAUAGAGGCGUGGUCAGUGAGGGCGCUCGGGGCAAGUUCCUUGGAAGAGGACAGCAUGGAGGGUGAUACUCCCGUUCAUCCCUGGGUGGCUCUUGCGUACGACCCGUUUUCUUUGAGUCGCGUUGUUUGGGAAUGCAGCGCAAAGUAGGUGGUAAAUUCCAUCUAAAGCUAAAUAUUGGUGCGAGACCGAUAGCGAACAAGUACCGUGAGGGAAAGAUGAAAAGAACUUUGAAAAGAGAGUUAAAGAGUACCUGAAACUGCUGAAAGGGAACCGAAUCGUUUCCAGUGUCUAUAAUCCGUGGCAUAUUUCAUUGGCGAGUGUGUGCGUGCGUGUGCUUUGGCAGUGGCUUUUUUGGCUGCGCUGGGCGUGUGUGCUGUGUGUGCUUGCUGGUGCCCUGUGCUGCGGUGGGACGUCAAGGUCAGUUCGUAUGCUGCGGGAAAUGGCUGCCGAGGAGGUAGGGCUUACGCUCCGCGUUUGUCUGUUAUAUCUUGGUGGACGAGUCGUCGCGGUUGGGACUGAGGUGCCUACAACGUGCUUUUGAGUGAGUAUGGGUCUCCGUGUGCGCCGUGUGCGGAUAGCUUGCUAUGCGUGUGUGGUUGUGUGUGGAUUGAUGCGUGCUGUAACUUGUCGCCGUUC